AAUCAUCGACAAUGGGCGAAAUCCUGAUGGAGCAACUCCUCGUGUGUGAAGAAGGUUUUCGGAUCGUAAAACUCUGCUGUAAGGUCAGAACAAGCACAGUAGUAACUGGCUGUACCUUGACGGUACCUUAUUAGAAAACGACGGCUAACUACGUGCCAGCAGCCGCGGUAAUACGUAGGUGGCAAGCGUUGUCCGGAAUAAUUGGGCGUAAAGCGCGCGCAGGCGGUCCUUUAAGUCUGAUGUGAACGACAACGGCUCAACCGUGGAGGGUCAUUGGAAACUGGGGGACUUGAGUGCAGAAGAGGAAAGUGGAAUUCCAAGUGUAGCGGUGAAUGCGUAGAGAUUUGGAGGAACACAAGUGGCGAAGGCGACUUUCUGGUCUGUAACUGACGCUGAGGCGCGCAAGCGUGGGGAGCAAACA
RNAcentral lists this ribosomal RNA (421 nucleotides) under uncultured bacterium. RNAcentral's name for it is "partial 16S ribosomal RNA". It matches the Rfam family "Bacterial small subunit ribosomal RNA", at positions 360 to 774 of the family's 1533-position model. The record is from RNAcentral.